Long non-coding RNA from Gadus chalcogrammus (walleye pollock), 1309 nucleotides. RefSeq lists it as uncharacterized. The transcript is spliced from 3 exons. The record is from RefSeq and is a predicted model, not a curated record. Lineage: Eukaryota; Metazoa; Chordata; Actinopteri; Gadiformes; Gadidae.
GUGUAAUGCAUUUGACUCACUGUACUACUUAUGCAUGUGUCUAAUUUGUACCAGAGUGUCAAUGGGAUGUGGGACCAAGUCAGAGUUUACCAUGGGAAGGAGUUCUACCUGUGCCUGUACAUCCAGGGUAUCCUUCCCAGGCACAGGUAUAACCUCAGCAGGCCACCUUACUUGCAGACUACAUAUUCAAGGAAUCUUAGGGUGGAGCAGAUUUGGCCUGAAGUCAAUAACUGAAGCAGGCCCUGGUGCACCUGACUGACCAAGCGGCCAUAGACAUGCAGGACAACACGGUGAAGUUCUGUGUGUCUAACCUUACGUGCCAACUCAGCCAGAUUGGGUUAGACAGGGUUGUGCAGUCAUGGAAUGCACAUAGGAUUCAAGGUAGAGGAAUACCUAAUGAACUCGCUGCAGCAGGAUGUCCAGCACAGAUAUCGGAGGACCUGCUACCCAGUGCUGCUGUUGCUGCUGACAGAUAUGAGCAGGGGUUUAGAAGCUCUCUCAGCAGGGAGGCAGCCUUUGGUGUGGACCCCUUUCACACUGAGGAAGACAGGAGGGACUUUGCGGUGGCCUACCCUGAUCCCUCAUCUUUGACAAUGUGGUCAACAAUGACCAUAGUGCAUUUCAUGAAGCCCUUUUCUGCCUGCUGAAUGGCACUGAGAGGAAUGUGUGAAAUGUUUUGAUGGAUGUGUGACGGCCUGUGUAUACUGUUAAGUGUUACGUGUGAUUGACCGUACAUUUUCUUGAUGAUGCUGUUAAUAAUGUAUGUGUUUAUCUGCCGUUUUCACAAAGAAAAGACUUCAACAAAACCUGUUGCAAGGAAACCACUUGUGUCUGCGAAUGCUUGUAAAAAAUAUUUUACAUUUCUCCAUCUAGAUGUGUAGCACUUUUAUAACCAAACAAAAUAGUACGUACAAUUAAUGACAAUAGAACGAUUUUCAGAAAGAACUACAACUUAAUGGGCAAAUAACAAUUUAACGUAAAAUUUGAACACAUAAUAAUAGUAAUAACUAAUUUAAAAUUGAAUAAAACAUAAAAAUUAAAGCCUCGUCCAGCCCCACCACUGGCUGCGUGUUUCCUCCGUAAAAGUCCCCACCUCUGCAUCUAGGGCAGUAGGUGAGGCUAACCUGCCGUUGCUCCACACAGCUGCUGCAGCCCAGGAUGGGUCUGCAGCAGCUGGCAAAUAUGGGCUCCUUCAUAGGAUCUGCAGUUUACAUAGAGAAUUUAGAUUAGUGACUUUAAGGAGGCUUUUAGACUUUUUUUGUUAGCCCUUAUGUUUUUUUUCAUGAUGACAAUAAAAAACGACAGUGUU